RNAcentral lists this ribosomal RNA (299 nucleotides) under uncultured bacterium. RNAcentral's name for it is "partial 16S ribosomal RNA". It matches the Rfam family "Bacterial small subunit ribosomal RNA", at positions 475 to 776 of the family's 1533-position model. The record is from RNAcentral.
CUAUGCGCCUUGCCAGCCCGCUCAGGUGUGCCAGCAGCCGCGGUAAUACGGAGGAUGCGAGCGUUAUCCGGAUUUAUUGGGUUUAAAGGGUACGUAGGUGGUUAAUUAAGUCAGCGGUGAAAGUUUGUGGCUCAACCAUAAAAUUGCCGUUGAAACUGGUUGACUUGAGUAUAUUUGAGGUAGGCGGAAUGCGUGGUGUAGCGGUGAAAUGCAUAGAUAUCACGCAGAACUCCGAUUGCGAAGGCAGCUUACUAAACUAUAACUGACACUGAAGCACGAAAGCGUGGGGAUCAAACAGG